AGAGUUUGAUCAUGGCUCAGGAUGAACGCUAGCGGGAGGCUUAACACAUGCAAGUCGAGCGGGAUUCACCUUCGGGUGAUGAGAGCGGCGCACGGGUGCGUAACGCGUAUGCACCUGCCUUGUGCAGGGGGAUAGCCCAUGGAAACGUGGAUUAAUACCCCAUACAAUAUAUGAAUCGCAUGGUUUAUAUAUUAAAACUUCGGUGGCAUAAGAUGGGCAUGCGUAGGAUUAGUUAGUUGGUGAGGUAACGGCUCACCAAGGCGACGAUCCUUAGGGGUUCUGAGAGGAUUACCCCCCACACUGGUACUGAGACACGGACCAGACUCCUACGGGAGGCAGCAGUGAGGAAUAUUGGUCAAUGGCCGGAAGGCUGAACCAGCCAUCCCGCGUGCAGGAUGACGGCCCUAUGGGUUGUAAACUGCUUUUCUACUGGAAGAAACCUGAUUACGAGUAAUCAGUUGCCGGUACAGUAGGAAUAAGCAUCGGCUACUCCGUGCCAGCAGCCGCGGUAAUACGGAGGAUGCAAGCGUUAUCCGGAUUCAUUGGGUUUAAAGGGUGCGCAGGCGGUCUGAUAAGUCAGCGGUGAAAUGCUGCCGCUUAACGGUAGAAUUGCCAUUGAUACUGUUGGACUUGAGUAUGGAUGAGGUAGGCGGAAUGUGUUGUGUAGCGGUGAAAUGCAUAGAUAUGACACAGAACGCCGAUUGCGGAGGCAGCUUACUAAUCCAUCACUGACGCUGAGGCACGAAAGCGUGGGGAGCGAACAGGAUUAGAUACCCUAGUAGUCC
This 785-nucleotide ribosomal RNA is filed under the name uncultured bacterium. RNAcentral's name for it is "bacterial SSU rRNA". It matches the Rfam family "Bacterial small subunit ribosomal RNA", at positions 8 to 796 of the family's 1533-position model. The record is from RNAcentral.